Molecule: RNA transcript, 1276 nt
Organism: Hevea brasiliensis (rubber tree)
Lineage: Eukaryota; Viridiplantae; Streptophyta; Magnoliopsida; Malpighiales; Euphorbiaceae
Gene name: ATP synthase subunit d, mitochondrial
Exons: 3
Source: RefSeq, a predicted model, not a curated record
UGCCAACAUGUCAAGAUCCUUCUCUCAUCUAAUUUUUCUCUCAUCCUUGUCACUUAAGCUUUGACUAUCCUAUCUCCACCACUUCUCAUAAGCUUUCUCUCACAUCUUUCUUACUCGUCUCCAUUUAUCUUCUCUAUCUCCAUUUCUCUUCAUCACUAAAAAUCUAAACUCACUACGUGGAAUUUUAUUUAUCUUUUCAGUUCAAUGAGAUGAAGAUGUCUCAAUAUAAUAGUCGAAGGCUAUCACAAAAUGGUAUUCCUCUAUGUAGAUGUGACGAAGAAGCGAAAAUUAUGACUUCAUGGACAAAUUCACAUCCCGGAAGGAGGUUCUAUGGAUGCAAGAACUAUGGGAUAAGUAAUUAUUGUGAUUUCUUCGAUUGGAUGGAUCCAGAGUUUCCAAAACAAGCUAAUGUUGUGAUUUUGGGCCUCUUGAACCGAAUUAAAAGAAUGGAGCUUAAUAAAAAAGCAUAAAGAAAGAAGAUGGAGAGAGGCUGUUGUAGGUGGAAAUGAAUUCUGACUUGUGUGCUCUAUUUGUUUUGGAUAAGUGUGUGUUUUGUGGGAAUGAUAAAUCUGAUAGUUUGGUUAUGGGAUGAGAUUAGGAUUGUGUUUUCUUUUUUUGUUUGAUUUUACUUGCAAUUAGUGUUCUUGAACGUUUGAACGUGUAUUAGUACCAUUCUUAAACUUAGGAAUAUAUAUCAAUAUCUUCUCUAAACUUAUGUUUUAUUGUAAUGCAUUUUGGUUAUUAUGAAUGAAUUGUAAAACUUUUAGCAAUCAAUGGAAAUCAGUAUAUCUUAAAUAUGGCCAUGCCAUUUUGUAUUUUCAUUCCAUGCAAAACGACCCCGCAGCGGAGUCCACACGACAAUAACAAGGGCUUCAACUCCGGCAGCGAGUGCUGGUAAAGCUUUCACACAAAACCGAAGUCUCAAAAUUUUGUUUGGCUGCUGUGAAAGUGAGGGAAAGCGAGUGAAAAUGAGCGGAACCAUAAAGAAGGUGACAGUUGUGGCAUUUAAUGCAUCAAAGACUAUUGAUUGGAAUGGGAUGGCGAAACUUCUAGUCUCCGACGAAGCUCGCAAGGUCGCCUCCCUUCGUCGUGCUUUCGAUGAUGUUAAUUCCAUUCUUCAGACAAAAUUCAGCCAGGAACCUGAACCUGUUGACUGGAAUAUUAUAGGAAAACAGUUGGCUCACGCUUAGUGGAUAUGUGUAAAGAGGCUAUGACAUUAAGUAUUCUUUUUGUUGGCAAAUGUUCCACUCAUAUGUUCUAGUUUUGAUUCAUGAUA